UGGGCCGAUGAGCAAAGGGGGUUUACUAAUCUUUUUCCUGUUUCCUAAGUGCAAAAACACAUUCUGAUGGGGCUGACAGGUUCUCCGCAGCUCUGGUUUCUCAGUGCACAGACUGAUGUGUCCCCCUAAUGAGAAGUUUUCUGGACUGCGGUGCUCCAGCCCUCCAGACUCCACCUGAGCUCCAUAAAUCAAAGAGGCAGAGACGCUGGGGGUCAGUGCGAGAGCCCUCAAGAGGAGUCGUCUCUUCACUUCGUUCACUCAGUGCUUGUCCUGGUUCAGUGAGUUGGGCCUUGCGAACCGGAUCACACUUUUUUUUUAUAUCUGUGCUAUGUCAUGUCCACUUGUUCUACUACUAAGUUCUCAAAGCUCUUAAAUGCCAUUUCCAAAAGGGGCAGCAUUAAAAACAGUGAGCGUCAGGCCAUGUACACCCCUCCUGAGCUACAGGUUUCCUGUCUCGCUAGUCUUGCUAGGACUUGCCCCAUAUAUUCUGCUGUAUUGAGUAAUAAAAAAGCAUAAUAGCAUUCAUAUAUUCUGUUUAACCGCACAGUGUGCGUUUGUCUGAAUGUGACAAAGGGUGAGAGAAAGACUGGAUAUGAAGGGAAUUUGGAGCGGCCCCCUUGAAGGCAUAUGUAAACAUUUACGCUUUGUCUCAAGCCGCUGGUGUGAUUACAGAGGCUGUACUGUACAGAGGCAGUCAAAUGGAAAAUGCAGAGCACAUGAGUAUGAGUGGCCUUCUUGCUGGAGAGCAUUUCGUGACCACUCUGCUUCAUGGUAUUAGCUGGGCGCUGCCUCACGAAACUGAUGUGUUGCAUCUGAUAUAGAGGCUUGUUUGGAGAUCCAGUCAACAUCCGUCCACACUCUGUUCAAGUAUGUUUAUGGGUUUGCUUAUCUCCAGAUUGAAUAGAUGCCGUAGUACCGGGAGGGGAUCAACUUGGCGGCGUAGAAUGACGCAAUGGAAACGCAACCAGAAGAGGUAAAUAAUUAGGUUUGCAAGCAGCUUAGAAAUUUGGAACACCAGCCAUGUGAAAUCAAACCCUCUUGUUUUGACGCGUCAUGCGUUUUUACUGGUUGUGAUUGUUACGAGGAACUGGAGAAAUCAGUCGUGCCUGUUAUUACUCCAAACGUAGAACCUGCCAGUUUGUGGGAUGCUAAUAUCACUCAAAGGUUGUGCUAGCUUUAGCACAGUGCAGUGUACAUACAGUAGAUCUUAGGGGGGUGUUCAAAAUGCAAUGUGAAAGCAACGGACAGCAGUCAUUUUCAGUAAGAGCCGGCGGUUUCCAAGACACAAGUAACAGAGAUUGUUGCUGAUGUGACGGCUUUAUACAAAUAAGCAAUGCAGGGACUACCAAUGGGAAUGCCUACAGUGAUCUUCCACCCGAUACAGAUUUUUAUCGCUGCCUGUAGGAGUGGGGUUUUAUGCUCAUGUAUUUGCUUUCUAUUCUAGGGCCCCAUCACGAGGUUUGGACUGAAAAUGAAACAAGACUAGCACCCAGCCUCAUGGAAGACGAUUUUCUCAUGAAAAACCAAAGCUUGGGCAUCAAGAGGUUUCAUCACGGCCACAGGAAUGAUAGUAGCAAAACAUAGCUGGAUAUGCAGUUAGCCAUGUUCUACAUUGUCUUCCCCCACAAACCAGGCCACAUUAAAUUUGGCGCUCAUUUGCCUCAGCUGCUCACUAGGAGAUCACAGGUCAAAUAAAGUGAUUAAAGAGAAAUCUUGCUGUUCAUAAUACAGAUGUCGAGUUUUUAGAAAUGAAUCAUUUGCAUUUAUGUUGUUUUCAUACUGUAAAAAUAUUAACUUAUAAUUAAACUAAUAAUAAAUGGGUUGUUGCGUGUUAGUUGCAUUACAUUGGCUUUUAUUUAACCAGUAAAAUGUUUUAUUUUAUUUAUGCAUUUAACAGAUGCUUUGACUUACAUUGCAUUCCAGCUAACAAUUUUCUCCUAACAUGUGUUCCGUGGGAUUCAAACCCCCAACCUUGUGCUUGCUAACACAGCGCUCUACCACUUGAGCUACAGGAACAAUACAAAUUUUUACAAAUAAUUUUUACAAAAAUUUUACAAAUAUCUAGAUGUUUUGAUGAUUUAAGCCCCAUUAAAAAUAUCUAAAUAUUUUUUUUUAUGCUUUUGUGUUUUUUUUUUUUUUCUAGGGAAUGAAGACCCAGAAAGUGUUUUAAACCAAGGAACAGAUCCAGGACUUCAGCCAAUCAGAGUGGGGAUUGGGUUCCUCUACAACCUAUCCCAGGCCACACCUUCUACUUGUUAAAAACUUCCUUUGGCUGCAGAACAUAGUGGCUGAUAUUCUUCUGUUUUUAACAGCUGUGAAG
Carassius auratus (goldfish) is the source of this 2320-nucleotide long non-coding RNA. The record is from Ensembl. NCBI's taxonomy places the organism in Eukaryota, Metazoa, Chordata, Actinopteri, Cypriniformes, Cyprinidae.